Molecule: long non-coding RNA, 1820 nt
Filed under: Nicotiana benthamiana
Lineage: Eukaryota; Viridiplantae; Streptophyta; Magnoliopsida; Solanales; Solanaceae
Description: long non-coding RNA (NBEN_LNC017730)
Source: RNAcentral
UUUGAAUCAGUCCUAGUUUAGUUACAAUGGACUAUCAAAUCAUAAAAAACUAUAUAAAACAGAUAGAAGCGUUAAAACAAAAAACUUCAGUGACUUCCAUUUCGUCUCAUGUUUCAACAGGAAUUGAUAUAUCAACAUAGGCUCGAAAUGUGUACCUGGGAUAGGAAAUUAAGAAACAGGAGAGAUCAGCAACAGGGACGACAAAGAGCAACCCAGAUUUACUUCAAACAGCCUAAGAGGAAUAUGAAAAACUGAAUAGCGCUAAUAGAUCCCCCAUAAUAGCACCAAAAUAACCAGAAUUGAACCCAAUAAUCCACACACUUAAUGAAUAACACCACAGCCAACUCGACUAAACCAAAAACAAACCACAGUCUAUUCCAAGUGUUUCUAGAUUUCAAAUGUUGAAUAGAAAUAGGAUAAUUCCAGCUAUUUUCUGAUCCUAAAGGAACUAAUAAGUCGAACAAAGAGCUGAAAACUGAAAUAGGACCAAUGUAACAUUGUUUUUUGUAUUUUUUGUGACUUUUUUUAUUUUUUUUAAGAUGAGGAAGAGGAUUUCAGGUCUAGUGCAUAAUCUGAUUAUCUUCUGGAAACUAAGAAAUUUUAUUUGGGAAUUUUUUGUUGGUUGAAAAAAAAAACUCCCCUCUCAAGGCAUUAGUGAUGCCCUUUUAUAGGCAUAACUAAGAGCGUAUUAGAUUUUUAACUUUACAAAACAUUCCCUCCUUUUAUUUCCAUUUAAACCUCUAUUUAUUAACUUGUUACCCAAGUUAGCAUCCUUAUCUACUGCAAUUUACCUAAAAAACCCCAUCCAGAAGCUCCUACAAAAUUCUUUCUAAAUUCCCUACCCUUGAACUACCUAUUUUACCUCUAUGUUUAAACUAAAUCGCAACUAUAACCAAACAAUUCCCUAAGCUCUGAAUUAUCGACAUGCUGAAGAUUAAACCUAAUUCAAAUUAAGACUAACAAACUAAGGCUUAACUAAUUGAACUAAGACUGCAUUAAAACACGAAUACCAGAAGUCAAUUCAAACCAAAACUAACAAACUAUUUAACAGAUUAGCAAAACUUAACUGAGAAUCAAACUAAAUUCAGGGAUUGGAGCAAAUUAAGAUCGGACAGAAUAAAAUUAUCAGAACACACAAAAUGAAUUCGAACCAGAUAAAAUCCACUAAUUAAUCAGAACUCUUUAAAGCUAAUCAUGAACAGAGAUUAUGGAUAAUUAUAAAAAAAAAUGACAUAUGAAACAAUUACUCACAACUAAACAGAAUUAAACCAAAUUAAACAUUCAAAAACAGACAUGAAACUCACUGUCAAAAGUCUGGCCAACUCUUAAAUUUCCAAUCCGACCGUUUUCGGUGAUGUUUGAGUUCCAAUGAUGCUGAAAUGCUCAUGAGGGAGGGGAGGGGGUCACAUGGUAUUUAAUUGAAGUGGUUUAGGGCAAUUAGUCUUUUGGCCGAAAAAUUCAAAUCAAUAUUCGAACGGUUUCGUCUAUAUUCGAGGAUCAGGGCCUUGGGGGUUCGAUAGAGGACAUGGAGGCGGUCUUGUGGUGCAAUUUUUGUGGGGAACGGAGAGAGUUGUGUGGUGACAGGAAAAUCUUUGACCGAAGAUUCGACACAUUUGGCCAGGAUUUGAGGGAAACGGGUGGUGGAUUCGUAAUGGGGAGGAAAAUGGGAACCAGGGGUGUAAUUUUGAGGUCGUACUAUGACGGGCCACCGCCGUGGCGAUUUCCGAUGGUGCCAUUACAGGGUUGGCCUCUGGGGUGUUCUGAGGGAGAUGAAAUUGGGGGGUAGGGGUUUAAGACCGUUUUAUAUUAAUAAACCUAGG